UACUCCGCCGGCGACCGGCGCACGGGUGCGUAACGCGUAUGCAACCUACCUUUAACAGGGGCAUAACACUGAGAAAUUGGUACUAAUUCCCCAUAACAUUCGAGAAGGCAUCUUCUUGGGUUAAAAACUCCGGUAGUUAAAGAUGGGCAUGCGUUGUAUUAGCUAGUUGGUGAGGUAACGGCUCACCAAGGCAACGAUACAUAGGGGGACUGAGAGGUUAACCCCCCACAUUGGUACUGAGACACGGACCAA
Molecule: ribosomal RNA, 252 nt
Filed under: uncultured bacterium
Lineage: Bacteria
Description: partial 16S ribosomal RNA
Rfam family: Bacterial small subunit ribosomal RNA
Source: RNAcentral